RNAcentral lists this ribosomal RNA (1067 nucleotides) under Enterococcus faecium. RNAcentral's name for it is "bacterial SSU rRNA". It matches the Rfam family "Bacterial small subunit ribosomal RNA", at positions 8 to 1045 of the family's 1533-position model. The record is from RNAcentral. Lineage: Bacteria; Bacillati; Bacillota; Bacilli; Lactobacillales; Enterococcaceae.
AGAGUUUGAUCCUGGCUCAGGACGAACGCUGGCGGCGUGCCUAAUACAUGCAAGUCGAACGCUUCUUUUUCCACCGGAGCUUGCUCCACCGGAAAAAGAGGAGUGGCGAACGGGUGAGUAACACGUGGGUAACCUGCCCAUCAGAAGGGGAUAACACUUGGAAACAGGUGCUAAUACCGUAUAACAAUCGAAACCGCAUGGUUUUGAUUUGAAAGGCGCUUUCGGGUGUCGCUGAUGGAUGGACCCGCGGUGCAUUAGCUAGUUGGUGAGGUAACGGCUCACCAAGGCCACGAUGCAUAGCCGACCUGAGAGGGUGAUCGGCCACAUUGGGACUGAGACACGGCCCAAACUCCUACGGGAGGCAGCAGUAGGGAAUCUUCGGCAAUGGACGAAAGUCUGACCGAGCAACGCCGCGUGAGUGAAGAAGGUUUUCGGAUCGUAAAACUCUGUUGUUAGAGAAGAACAAGGAUGAGAGUAACUGUUCAUCCCUUGACGGUAUCUAACCAGAAAGCCACGGCUAACUACGUGCCAGCAGCCGCGGUAAUACGUAGGUGGCAAGCGUUGUCCGGAUUUAUUGGGCGUAAAGCGAGCGCAGGCGGUUUCUUAAGUCUGAUGUGAAAGCCCCCGGCUCAACCGGGGAGGGUCAUUGGAAACUGGGAGACUUGAGUGCAGAAGAGGAGAGUGGAAUUCCAUGUGUAGCGGUGAAAUGCGUAGAUAUAUGGAGGAACACCAGUGGCGAAGGCGGCUCUCUGGUCUGUAACUGACGCUGAGGCUCGAAAGCGUGGGGAGCAAACAGGAUUAGAUACCCUGGUAGUCCACGCCGUAAACGAUGAGUGCUAAGUGUUGGAGGGUUUCCGCCCUUCAGUGCUGCAGCUAACGCAUUAAGCACUCCGCCUGGGGAGUACGACCGCAAGGUUGAAACUCAAAGGAAUUGACGGGGGCCCGCACAAGCGGUGGAGCAUGUGGUUUAAUUCGAAGCAACGCGAAGAACCUUACCAGGUCUUGACAUCCUUUGACCACUCUAGAGAUAGAGCUUCCCCUUCGGGGGCAAAGUGACAGGUGGUGCA